This 87-nucleotide transfer RNA is filed under the name Rhodospirillaceae bacterium. Its description in RNAcentral is "tRNA-Leu". It matches the Rfam family "tRNA". From Rfam's summary of the family: Transfer RNA (tRNA) molecules are approximately 80 nucleotides in length. Their secondary structure includes four short double-helical elements and three loops (D, anti-codon, and T loops). Further hydrogen bonds mediate the characteristic L-shaped molecular structure. tRNAs have two regions of fundamental functional importance: the anti-codon, which is responsible for specific mRNA codon recognition, and the 3' end, to which the tRNAs corresponding amino acid is attached (by aminoacyl-tRNA synthetases). tRNAs cope with the degeneracy of the genetic code in two manners: having more than one tRNA (with a specific anti-codon) for a particular amino acid; and 'wobble' base-pairing, i.e. permitting non-standard base-pairing at the 3rd anti-codon position. The record is from RNAcentral. Lineage: Bacteria; Pseudomonadati; Pseudomonadota; Alphaproteobacteria; Rhodospirillales; Rhodospirillaceae. RNAcentral also lists the same sequence under 1 other name.
GCGGGCGUGGCGGAACUGGUAGACGCGCUGGAUUCAAAAUCCAGUUCUGGUGACAGAGUGGGAGUUCGAUUCUCCCCGCCCGCACCA